This 812-nucleotide ribosomal RNA is filed under the name Salmonella enterica subsp. enterica serovar Thompson. RNAcentral describes it as "bacterial LSU rRNA". It matches the Rfam family "Bacterial large subunit ribosomal RNA", at positions 398 to 1211 of the family's 2925-position model. The record is from RNAcentral. Lineage: Bacteria; Pseudomonadati; Pseudomonadota; Gammaproteobacteria; Enterobacterales; Enterobacteriaceae.
UGUGAGCUCGAUGAGUAGGGCGGGACACGUGGUAUCCUGUCUGAAUAUGGGGGGACCAUCCUCCAAGGCUAAAUACUCCUGACUGACCGAUAGUGAACCAGUACCGUGAGGGAAAGGCGAAAAGAACCCCGGCGAGGGGAGUGAAAAAGAACCUGAAACCGUGUACGUACAAGCAGUGGGAGCACCCUUUGGGGUGUGACUGCGUACCUUUUGUAUAAUGGGUCAGCGACUUAUAUUCUGUAGCAAGGUUAACCGAAUAGGGGAGCCGGAGGGAAACCGAGUCUUAAUUGGGCGUUAAGUUGCAGGGUAUAGACCCGAAACCCGGUGAUCUAGCCAUGGGCAGGUUGAAGGUUGGGUAACACUAACUGGAGGACCGAACCGACUAAUGUUGAAAAAUUAGCGGAUGACCUGUGGCUGGGGGUGAAAGGCCAAUCAAACCGGGAGAUAGCUGGUUCUCCCCGAAAGCUAUUUAGGUAGCGCCUCGUGAAUUCAUCUCCGGGGGUAGAGCACUGUUUCGGCUAGGGGGCCAUCCCGGCUUACCAACCCGAUGCAAACUGCGAAUACCGGAGAAUGUUAUCACGGGAGACACACGGCGGGUGCUAACGUCCGUCGUGAAGAGGGAAACAACCCAGACCGCCAGCUAAGGUCCCAAAGUCAUGGUUAAGUGGGAAACGAUGUGGGAAGGCCCAGACAGCCAGGAUGUUGGCUUAGAAGCAGCCAUCAUUUAAAGAAAGCGUAAUAGCUCACUGGUCGAGUCGGCCUGCGCGGAAGAUGUAACGGGGCUAAACCAUGCACCGAAGCUGCGGCAGCGA